Molecule: RNA transcript, 3004 nt
Organism: Trichoplusia ni (cabbage looper)
Lineage: Eukaryota; Metazoa; Arthropoda; Insecta; Lepidoptera; Noctuidae
Exons: 9
Source: RefSeq, a predicted model, not a curated record
AAGCCGACAUGGAAAAGUUAUUAAACAGUGGCUUCAAUAAACGGCCCAAUAAGUUAUGUAAAGUGCGGGUGCAUCGCGUUACAUUACAACCCCUACAUGGGCCGGCGGGGUUGGGACGCAUGCGCUCGCACCACCGGCCGCGCACGGCAUAUGCGGAAUAUUAAAGGAGGAAAGAGAAAAAAAUUAACUUGUGAAGCCAUUUUCGUCUAUCGGCGGCCCCCGCGCCCGCCGUAGGGUUUCUGUGAUGCAGGCAGAGAGGCUCGCGCGGCCGCCGCGACCGAACGCCGCCUCGUUGCUCCGCCGCGCUCGCUCCGACAUCCGUCGUUCCGUCGUUCCGUCGACCCGUCGCUCCACCCGCUCUUGUGAUUACACGUUGUGCGACACAUUAUAAUUGUGCAGUGUUAUUUGGACGUUUGAGAAGCCGCCGCUACGUGAACAGUGUUACUAACUAAUAAGAACUUAUAACAAAAGUGCAGUUUACAUACUUUACUGUGAGUGUAAGUUUUUGAAAAGUUUAAUUUUUAUCUUCUCUAGUGAUACGUCUUGUAAAGUGAACUUAACUAUAUUUGAAAUCGUGUUUCUUGUGCCGCGUCAAGUUUGAUAUGAAGUAGCAGUAGUAAUUUAGAAAAGUUAAAACUUUUACAAGUUACUCUAAAUACUCGUACAUUUCGGAGUUUCGUCCAAUUCAAGUUCCAGAGUUUAUGAUCGCAACCGUACAGAUCAUUAACCCGCUUGGCUCCCUCCUUCGGCUUUUGAACCAGAAUUGGAGUUCCAGUGCGACUUAAAAUGUCAUAAGGUACUAAUUGGCUAUGAGAGGAUGAGCCAUGGAAUCACGAAGCGCGCCGCCAAGCCCCGACGAGCCCGGGCAGGCGGUGUACGACAGUCGCUGUGGAAGGUUUCCACACCCUCCUACUCUUCAGCGGACAUUCGCGAGCUGCCGCGAGACCACACGUCCCCGUCCUCAUCACCGCCACGCUGCGUCAGAGCCGGCGCGGCCCGACGACCGGGUGCUAACCACGGCAGAAGUCCACGACUACCCAUCUUCGGAAUCUGGCAUUGCAGCCGAUUGCCCACAUCCUCAUACUAGUAACGCUGAUGAUAGCCCCUCCUAUGAUCGCUCAGACUAUGAAGGCAAUUCAAGUUAUAGUCUGAGACAUACACCUGAUUAUCAUCACACAUUAGACUGUAAACAUCGGCCUAUCGAUUAUAAUCGUAGUCAUACACCCGAUUACAAUCACGGUCAUGGGUCAGACUGCGACCGAGCGCACGCGCGCUCACAGACUUCUCGUCGGCCGCACAGAAAGCAUCGGCGAGAAGAAGACGACGGUGCUCAGUCACUUGAUGAACGAUGUGCUAGGGAUCUAGACGAAAUUCUACCAGCAAGACUAGCAGCUGUCAAUUUAUCACGAGAACCACCACCGCAAACAUGGAAUAGAAGCAACAUCGCAGCGACUAUGGAGCGAUUUGAACCAGUUGACUAUUCGUAUGCGUAUUAUGACCAUCACUUAUCUAUGCCCUCGUCGUCAAGGAAGGUAAAUCGUCAACGUGGAAGAGGAGGUAUUCCGCGAGACAGGUCAUCACGUCAUAAUUAUGUUACGAGGUACGGCACCGAAGAAAACAUUUAUGAAGAAAUAACAGAUGGUUCUAGAACGUGUCCUAAGCAUCGUUAUGCCCCCCGACAGUCACUAGUUUCUUUAGAUAGAAGUGUAGUCGAAGAAGAAGUCCGUCGAGUAGAAUCCAGGCACAAACGAAUUUUGGGAGAGUUGAAUCUUAGCGUCGAGGCAAUGCUUAUGCCAGAAUGUGAAUCCCCCGAUUCCGAGCGGGCAGAAGACAGAGACAAUAUAGAGGAAUUAUUGCGAGUUGGACCGACGGAUGAGCUACUUUCACCGGCAAGCUGUAAUCCACCAGAUUUAGACAGCGGGUUUAGUGGCAGCAGUAGCGGUGCGAGUUAUGUCGGGAGUUUACGUCGUAAACCAACUGGAUCAGUGCCGCACUUACCCGCUGUAGCUUACGGCACACGAGGUGCAGGGGUACGAAUUCUAGGCGCAGACGAAUGCGGUCUACGAUGCCCUAAAGAUGUCCCAUCACCGCGCAGUUCCAGCUGCGGAGACGCAAAAACGAGCGGCUUUUGGAACAAAAAAGCUUGGAAGAAGAUAUCUGGGUUUUCUAGUUCUAACAGCAUCAACAAAGCCGGGCUUACUGGUCUGCUCGUUAGGUACACUUUCCGGCGUAAGUCCGGCUCGCAGGGCUCUCAGGGCAAGCGGCGUGCCGAGCCCGUCAAAUGCGAUGCGUGCCUCUCACAGCGAUGUUAGCCGCUCUAUGAUGACGCGGUUAGGCCAAGCAGAGCUAAAUCCAGAACAGCCACUAUACCGUACAGCUACUCCAACGGAAAACUGGUGGUGCCGCUGGAUUCCCUAGCACAGAGCUGAGGGGCCAGUCCCCCUCGGCAUUCCCGCCUCCAACUCCUCAGAGGGACUCCUCAACACCGCAGGCCAGCGGUAGACACCACCAGUGACGUAGUUCGACAACGAGCUAAGAACCAUUGUGUCACUUGAAACGUUUAAAGAAACAUUCCAUUUUACUUCAACAAUAGGUACGAGUAUCGUUAAUGCCACCUCAGCUAGUCUCAAAGACAAACUGUUCUUAGGUGUACCCAGUGUAAAUAUAGUGAACGGACAUUCAAAUAAUACUGUAGGAGAAACGGGGAGAGUAUACGUUGAAGUGAUAGAAAAGCCUAAAUUAAUUAUUUGUAUUGUUAUAACGAUCGUUUCAUAGAAACGUAAUGACUACAUUGUUGUUACUUAUCAAUUUUUAGUAGUUAAUAGGUACAUGAAAAGGCUGACAAAGUUGAAGAAUCUGAUUUUGUACAUGAUAUGAGCUGCCAUCUUAGCUAAUAUUUUAAUUUUAAAAAAGCAAGGUCAAUGUAUCCAUCUACAUUAUUGUAUCUGGGUGAAAAUUACAAAAAAAAAACAAGAAUCCAUUUAUUCGGCCAAAUAAGCCAACA